Molecule: ribosomal RNA, 253 nt
Filed under: uncultured bacterium
Lineage: Bacteria
Description: partial 16S ribosomal RNA
Rfam family: Bacterial small subunit ribosomal RNA
Source: RNAcentral
UACGUAGGGUCCGAGCGUUGUCCGGAAUUACUGGGCGUAAAGAGCUCGUAGGCGGUUUGUCGCGUCUGCCGUGAAAGUCCGGGGCUCAACUCCGGAUCUGCGGUGGGUACGGGCAGACUAGAGUGAUGUAGGGGAGACUGGAAUUCCUGGUGUAGCGGUGAAAUGCGCAGAUAUCAGGAGGAACACCGGUGGCGAAGGCGGGUCUCUGGGCCGAUACUGACGCUGAGGAGCGAAAGCGUGGGGAGCGAACAGG